CUCUUGUUCUCUGUGAGUCAGACUUUGGUAGCCUCCUUACUUGCUCCACUUGCUUCAGAGAGAGAAGUGCGGGUUUGCGGUUUAGUGAAGGAGCAAGGCUCAUGUGAAUAGAAGAAUCCAAGGUAGAGCAGGAAGAGAAAUCCAGCUAGAGAAAGAGGUGGAAGUCAAAAUAAGUAGACUCUUAUUUUAAAUUUUUAAUGGCUUCUUGGUGGCUUCAAGAUAAAAGAUAGACAAUGAGGAGCUUUGUGUUUGGGAAAAGAAUAAAAGUCAACUGUAGCAAAACCUCUCAGAAGUAGGAUUUAUAAACAGUUCUCAAAGGAUGCACAUGAAAAUGUAAUUUCUUGGGAAAGUGGCAAACAGAAAAGAAUCAAACCGCAGUUGUGUGUGGCAAGGAUAAAUAUGCAACGCACCAUCAAUAGGAUUUGUUGGGUGAAUAAAAAAGCCUUUUAGCCAACAAUAUGUAAGCAGAAGAAUGGAGCAGGAGUUAGAGAGAACCCUCAAGCAAUAAUGGAGGCCACUGGAGAGGCAAGACUGCCAAAGGCUAAGUUAUUGACCCAGUAUUUUUAAAACUGCCUCCGAAAAGAAGCCUGAACGAAAGAAAAUAAUUUGUGCUAUUAGAAUGUAUUUUUCCUUUGUGUUCCUAUCUACUUCCUUCACAAGCUAUUUUUGGAUGACAGGAUGGAGUCUCCAGCUGUGAAAGUGUUGCUGCAGACAGCCCUCAGCUUCCAGUUCUUGUAAAAAUGGCCUCAGCUUCAGAGAGCUCCAUUACCCAAGCUCAUUCAUUUCCUGGGGUGUUCUGCAUCCAGUGAGUGUUCUGUGGACUUGCCAGUUUCCAGGUUUUAAGGUAUUGCCAGUGAGGCUUUAUGACACCCCAAAACCUGCUUGGUGCACAAGAUGAAACGCCUCUGUAAGACACCUCCUGAAAGAGCAAUCAUUGGAUCAAAGCAUACAGAGUCAUCUUUCAUUGCUUGCAACCAAGACCUCCAGUUAAGGAGCACACAGUUGAGGAGCACACUGUGUCAAUCAAAUAUUGUUUCAUUGCAUUAAAUUGCACUAAACCCUUCCAACUGGUGUGUGAUAGAGGCUUAUCAUCAUCAUUGUAGAGGCAAGAACACUAAGAUUGAAAAUCACAGUGAAGGGCUCAGUGUUUCCCGGCAAGACCAAGCCAGAAUGCAAAUUAGGUGGGAGCAGAGGAUUUAAACUAACAUCAGCAAAGAAGAAAAGCUUAAAUUCAGACUGGGAACAAAUGUGCAUUUGCCUGAGUGUGCCAUAAUCCUGGGAGAACAAUA
This 1289-nucleotide long non-coding RNA is filed under the name Homo sapiens (human). RNAcentral describes it as "HSALNT0318235". The record is from RNAcentral. Lineage: Eukaryota; Metazoa; Chordata; Mammalia; Primates; Hominidae.